RNAcentral lists this ribosomal RNA (1415 nucleotides) under uncultured bacterium. Its description in RNAcentral is "bacterial SSU rRNA". It matches the Rfam family "Bacterial small subunit ribosomal RNA", at positions 9 to 1380 of the family's 1533-position model. The record is from RNAcentral.
GAGUUUGAUCCUGGCUCAGGACGAACGCUGGCGGCGUGCUUAACACAUGCAAGUCGAACGAAGAGCGAUGGAAGCUUGCUUCUAUCAAUCUUAGUGGCGAACGGGUGAGUAACGCGUAAUCAACCUGCCCCUCAGAGGGGGACAACAGUUGGAAACGACUGCUAAUACCGCAUACGAUCUGACCUCGGCAUCGAGGAUAGAUGAAAGGUGGCCUCUACAUGUAAGCUAUCACUGAAGGAGGGGAUUGCGUCUGAUUAGCUAGUUGGAGGGGUAACGGCCCACCAAGGCGAUGAUCAGUAGCCGGUCUGAGAGGAUGAACGGCCACAUUGGGACUGAGACACGGCCCAGACUCCUACGGGAGGCAGCAGUGGGGAAUCUUCCGCAAUGGACGAAAGUCUGACGGAGCAACGCCGCGUGAGUGAUGACGGCCUUCGGGUUGUAAAGCUCUGUUAAUCGGGACGAAAGGCCUUCUUGCGAAUAGUGAGAAGGAUUGACGGUACCGGAAUAGAAAGCCACGGCUAACUACGUGCCAGCAGCCGCGGUAAUACGUAGGUGGCAAGCGUUGUCCGGAAUUAUUGGGCGUAAAGCGCGCGCAGGCGGAUAGGUCAGUCUGUCUUAAAAGUUCGGGGCUUAACCCCGUGAUGGGAUGGAAACUGCCAAUCUAGAGUAUCGGAGAGGAAAGUGGAAUUCCUAGUGUAGCGGUGAAAUGCGUAGAUAUUAGGAAGAACACCAGUGGCGAAGGCGACUUUCUGGACGAAAACUGACGCUGAGGCGCGAAAGCCAGGGGAGCGAACGGGAUUAGAUACCCCGGUAGUCCUGGCCGUAAACGAUGGGUACUAGGUGUAGGAGGUAUCGACCCCUUCUGUGCCGGAGUUAACGCAAUAAGUACCCCGCCUGGGGAGUACGACCGCAAGGUUGAAACUCAAAGGAAUUGACGGGGGCCCGCACAAGCGGUGGAGUAUGUGGUUUAAUUCGACGCAAACGCGAAGAACCUUACCAGGUCUUGACAUUGAUGGACAGAACUAGAGAUAGUUCCUCUUCUUCGGAAGCCAGAAAACAGGUGGUGCACGGUUGUCGUCAGCUCGUGUCGUGAGAUGUUGGGCUAAGUCCCGCAACGAGCGCAACCCCUAUCUUAUGUUGCCAGCACUUUGGGUGGGAAACUCAUGAGAGACUGCCGCAGACAAUGCGGAGGAAGGCGGGGAUGACGUCAAAUCAUCAUGCCCCUUAUGACCUGGGCUACACACGUACUACGAAUGGGAGUUAAUAGACGGAAGCGAAGAAUCGCGAGAUGGAGCGAAACCCGAGAAACCGCUCUCUCGGUUCGGAUCGUAGGCUGCGAACUCGCCUACGUGAAAGUUCGGAAUCGCUAGUGAUUCGCCGGUUCGACCGGACUGCGGUGAAGUCGUUCCUCGGCC